GAUUAACGCUGGCGGCGUGCAUAACACAUGCAAGUCGAACGAUGAAACUUAAAUGAUUUCUUCGGAAUGAACUUAAGUGGAUUAGUGGCGGACGGGUGAGUAACGCGUGAGUAACCUGCCUUACACAAGGGGAUAGCCGUUGGAAACGACGAAUAAUACCCUAUGAAACUAUCACUUCGCAUGAAGCGAUAGUCAAAGUGUUAGCGGUGUAAGAUGGACUUGCGUCUGAUUAGCUAGUUGGUGAGAAAAAAGCCCACCAAGGCAACGAUCAGUAGCCGGCUUGAGAGAGUGUACGGCCACAUUGGGACUGAGACACGGCCCAGACUCCUACGGGAGGCAGCAGUGGGGAAUUUUGCACAAUGGGGGAAACCCUGAUGCAGCGACGCCGCGUGAUUCAGAAGGCCUUCGGGUUGUAAAAAUCUUUUGUAUAGGAAGAAAAUGACAGUACUAUACGAAUAAGGUCCGGCUAAUUACGUG
Molecule: ribosomal RNA, 477 nt
Filed under: uncultured bacterium
Lineage: Bacteria
Description: partial 16S ribosomal RNA
Rfam family: Bacterial small subunit ribosomal RNA
Source: RNAcentral